This is an RNA transcript of Lytechinus pictus (painted urchin), 5515 nucleotides long. It is a transcript of the gene named magnesium transporter NIPA2-like, with no coding region annotated. The record is from RefSeq and is a predicted model, not a curated record. The transcript is spliced from 7 exons. Lineage: Eukaryota; Metazoa; Echinodermata; Echinoidea; Temnopleuroida; Toxopneustidae.
ACUUCAGAAUUAAAGGUAAUCAUAUUUGCGAAAGACCAGUCCUAGCAAAUAAUAUUCGCCUUAUUCUCAUCAUCAGUGGCCCAAAGGGAUUGGUUCAUGAACUUGUCGAGGGAGCACCUCAGUUUGAAAACUUAGUAUUCACUCAGAUUUUUAAUCUGUCAAAACUAGAUGAUCAGAACAUCUUCAUAAAUGCGUCAACCUCUGUAAAUCCAUGAAACAAUUUUCACCAGUCCCACCCAUGCUAUUCACGGUAGGCUAUGAUUUAUGAAGGUUUUUUUUUUUUAAUCCAAGUUUGCAGGAAAAUUAAAAAAACAAUCCCAUAAUUUACUACCCCCCCCCCCCCUAUCUCCAUAAAAAAGGGAUCCGAAAGAUAAGAAAGAAUCGAGUACGGUACUCCUAUACCCCAGCUGUACUACCCUUCAUGGACAGCAUGCACAGCACUAGCAAUGCUCGAUAGAUUUGUACGUCGAAACGCGCUCGAGAAAGCUGGCGUGUUUUUUGCAGAAUCUUUUUGCAUUGUUGUAUGUAAUUGUUGAUGCAUGACCAUGACGUCACGUCAGGUUCACUGAAGCUGAACUUGUGAUGCGAUCGAUAGAAAGAAAGAGAGGACUGCACAAAUCAAAAUACUACCAAGCUUGCAAAAGCUUGUACAAUGGGAGGAGAAGAAGAAAGAUCCAGUAGUGAUCUGACAGUUGGAUUGUUGCUUGCCAUCAGCUCAACGGUAUUUAUUGGAUCAAGUGGGAUAGUCAAGAAGAAGGCUCUCAUUAAGAUUCAUGCAUAUGCAACAAGAGCAGGUGAUGGUGGCCAUGCAUAUCUCAAGGAAUGGCUCUGGUGGGCAGGUUUUGCACUUUUGGCUACCGGGGAGUUCCUCAACUUUAUUGCCUAUGCCUUUGCCCCAGCUCUCCUCGUCACCCCGCUUGGUGCUCUUAGUGUUUUAGUUACGGCUGUAUUAUCCCAUAACUUCUUGAAAGAAAAUCUUAACUUACUUGGUAAAGUCGGCUGUAUGCAGUGUAUAUUUGGGUCAACCAUCAUGGUGUUACACGCACCGGCUGAAAAGGGGGCCAACACAUUGGCUGAACUGUCCAUACUUUUACAAGAGUCAGUAUUUGUAACGUACAUCGUAGGACUAUUAAUAGUGGUGAUCGUCCUCAUCUACGUAGUCUCGCCAACGUAUGGCCAUAAAAACAUCUUGGUCUACCUCUCUAUUUGCUCCUUGGUGGGCUCCCUCUCUGUCCUCGCUUGUAAAGGUUUCGGCAUCGCCGUCAAGGAAUACUCCAAAGGCACAAACACUUUCCUCUUCCCCAUCACGUGGUUCCUGCUGACGAGCCUUGUGAUCUGUAUAUUAAUGAGCAUGCACUAUUUGAACAAAGCUCUGGACACCUUCAACGCCGCGGUCAUCGCUCCGAUCCACUAUGUGUUCUUCACGACGUGCGUGGUGACCGCCUCGGGGAUACUCUUCAAGGAGUGGGCCAGCAUGAGCAUGCAGGACUCGUUAUCCACGCUCGCCGGCUUUGGGGUCAUCUUCAUGGGCAUCUAUCUCCUCCAUACCUUUAAGGAUGCGAAUAUAUCUAUGGACGCUGUGACUCUGAUGUCGCCCAAGACCAAGGCCGAAGAUAUGUCGCUGUUGAAUAGUCACAGUGAGGUUGUCUCUAUGGAUAGUGAUACAGAGUCAACAGGCAAGUGAAAUCCAUGUUUAGAGCUUUCCUAAAGCUUGGUUUAGAUAUUAAGAUAACAUGUAGUUUUUGGGUGGUAAUUUGAAUAAUGGAUAAAACAGUUGCAAAGUGACUGUGGAAGGUUGUUUAUUUAUAAUUCCCCCAAAACUUAUGUUUGAGGUAACUCAUUGGAAUAACCAAUAUGAUAACAAAUUGAGCCAAUACUUCCCAGAGAUGCCAAGUUCAAUGACAAGCGAUGAAUGGGAUUUUAGGCAGGGAACCAUGACUUGGUGGGAGAUCACCAGGGACACACUGCGAUGCUGGUGUGAGCAAGAGAUUUUAGGGGAUAAGCAAGUGUCCCUAAUGUAGGAAUCUCAUGCCUAGGGUACCUGGUACUUGGUCAUGUGCACUGCACUCAGAUGAGCAUUAUAUGGGACUACGUGAAAAUUUUCUGCUAGGCAGUCUCUGAUUUUGUUUGUAAUGUUCUGAAUGUGAAGGCAUUUGAAGAGCAAUUCUUGGCAUUAGACCUUUCUUAAUGGUAUUCUUCUGGUUUGUUUCCAAUUUGUCUAAUGCCAAUUCGUCCAAUUACCAACUCGUCUUACUAUAAUUUGGUCUACCAUCAGUUCGUCCACUAUCCACACGGUCUAAUUGCCAAUUUGACCACUCACCAUUUCAUCUAAUAACCAGUUAGUCCAAUAGCCAUUUAGUCCAUAAACCAUUUGGUCUAAUUCGAUAAGUGGGCGAAAUGAAAGAAAAGAAAAUGGGUAUUAGAACAACUGGUUAUUAGACGAAAUGGUCAUAGACGAACUGGUGAUUAGACAAAGUGAUGAUUGACCAAAUGGUCAUUGGACCAAAUGGUUGUUAGACGAAAUGUUGAUGGACGGAAUGACAUGAUACUAAAUGAAAGGAUUGUUUCCUUCUUUUACAUUGCAGCUUUUAUCCCUUUAUUUAUUUGGUCAGGUUGAUUCUAACUAAGAAUGAAAAAAUAUAUAUAUUGUGUGUAAUGGUGCUUGUAUUUGAUACCAAAGGUAGAGUUGAUUCUAAUUUAACCUUGUAUAUUAUGUAAUACCAAGUUCACACUGUCAUGAUUUGUGUUACGAUCAAAACCAUGGUCUUGAUCGUAAAAUAGACAUACAUAUUGUGAUCUUGUCAGAUCAAUUGUGGCAAUCGUAUUGACUGUAGAAAAAAAAAAUUGUGAUGAGCUACAAAAAGCCAAUCGUGACAUUUGUACAGAGUUCUAAAAACAAUUCUGUAUAUUUUUGCCUUCAGAAACAGGCUCUUUUAAAGUUUAAACAGCAUGUUUGUUCUUAAUCACUGCUCUGUAUGACACACAUAGAAAAAAAUAAUCCAAUGCCCUGAAAGGACUUGAAAAAUGAAUAAUUGUAAGCUGCCAUCAGUGAUUGUUAGAGAUCAACUUUCUCUACUACAACUUUACAUGUAAAGUAUUCAAAUUCAUAUUUACUUAAUUAUUUUUUGAAAAUAAGAUUACUAUUAUUAUCGCAAUAAACUCUUUAUUGAAAUACUAGAACAUAGAUUGCAGUGUUUGAGUAACUUAAUAGAAGCAUAAAUAUUUCAUAAAUUAUUUUUUAUAUACUUGUAUAGAGAGGUGAAACAAUUGUACCGAUUUUAAACUCAAAUCGUGUAGAAUUAGUACCCUUUUAUGGUGUAUUUCUUCAACCUUUUUCACUGGUUACAAUAAAGUUAGUAAGAGCAUAUUUUGGCUAAUAUCCUGAUUUUCAUCUUAUAAAGUUAUUUCUGAUGGUGUUUUUUUUUUCUUGCAUAUGAACUUGAGGAGAAAUGUCCCCAAGCCAAGGUUUAUUUGAAAUACCCAUGUUAAUAUAAUCUCUGUUUACUCUUUUUACAAAAAAAGAAUUAUAUCCCCCCAAACACAAAAAUUAAGACAAGAAACAUUCUGUGAUCAUGAUGGUUUUAUUUAUUUUAUUCUGAUAGUAUUGUAUGAGGGGAUAUAUUUGCGUUAUUUUGAAUUUGAUUAAUAUUUGAUCAAGGCUUUAGGGAAUCGUUCUUCCACAAGUAAGUUAGGAAAUAUGCAAUUUAUGAAAAAAAUUAAGAAAGACAUCUAGACCUGUAUUAUGGUUUUUAAAACACAUAAAUGAUAUAGAAUAAUCAACAAAAAGUAUGUAAAUACUAAAGACAUGAUUUAUAGGGUACUUGUAUUUUUCCCUUUAUUGUCUUUUUAAGUGGUUCCGAUCUGGAUUUAUUUUAAAUCCUUGGAAUUUAGAGUGUAUACAUGUAAGCUAUGUAAUAUUAUAAAGCAAUGCAAAUUUCUCAAAUUGUUGUUGUCACCGCUUUCCAGACUCAUCAGUUAAUAUCAUCAUUAUGGUUUUGUGUUAUGCAAUCCUAACAUCCUACUUGAUUAUUAGUAUAAGCUUCUCAAAUUGUCAAUGACAUGAUAUACUGAUCACGAUUUUUGCCAUACAUUUGAAUGUUUACAUUUUAAUACAUUUUUUGUAUGUUGGAUGUUAACUUCAUUUGUUACUUUUCUUCUACAUUGUAUUUAAUUUAGAUUUGCAAUUGUCAACAGUUAAAAUUUUUUUUUUUAUAUUGAUGAUUACAAAUUAUGCUGCCAACAGAUUGAAAUUUCAAUUUCCUUUGGGCUUUACAACAUGCAAUUCAUGAUCUGUAUGUUACUCUUGCACAAUUGCGAGUCGGAAUUUACCCUGUCAACAAUGUUUGGGUUUUUUUUAAUCAGAGUAACAAAGAACAAACAUACCUGGUUUGUUUCCUGAUAUCAACUAUUGCAUGAUAAGAGUUUUCAAGAAUGCCAUUUGUUUAUCAUGCUGGCACAUCAACUGUCUGCAUUUUUAGUUCUUGUCAAACAUUUUCAUGUAAUUCCUCAUUCACUAAAUAGAUUACCACCAUUAAAAAAGAUAUGAGCCCUCUUGUGGUGAAAUAUUUCACAACUUUGCCAUCAGGAUUGAACUUUAUUGCAAAGAAGUCUUUUUUUAUUCAAAUCAUUGAAAAUGUAUGACUUGUUAAAUCAUCACUGACGUUAUGGCAUGCAUUUCAUUUUAGAAGACAUUACAUGUACAUAAAAGAAAAGUCAUGCAAAUCAUUGAAAGAUUAAAAGUGAUUUACUUGUUUGAAAUGAAGUAAACAUGUUAUGUAGAUUGACAUUUGCAGAGGCAUGAAUUUCCAUGUCAAAAUCAAUUUAUUGAAAGUAUAUAAGGUCAAGUAUAAUGUAGUACUCUCUUUAAAGUUAGCCUUAAAGUAUUGUGUCAUUUCAUUAUGAAUUUCUUGUUGAUAUUUGUGUAAAUGAUUGGUAAAUAUAUAUAUAUACAUGUAUAUUGAUGUAAUAUUAAUGUCAAAAUGAUGAUUUUGUUAUACCUGUGCAAGUAAAUUUAUCUUCCAUCGAAUGGCAUUGUAAUAGAUAUAUUAGUGAUUUUAUUCUAUUAUGAGGCUGAACUUGAAUUUAUUGAACUUUAUAUACCACUUUAUAUUGUUCUAUGCAAGGAUAUGAUUUUAUAAUCAUUGAUAUGUAUUAGUGUAAAUGAAUGUUACAGAUAUGGAUACUGUAACAUGCAAAGUGUAAUUAAUUGUUCAAUUAAAGGUAACUUACCAUGACAAACUAUGUAUAAAAUGUUGGGAUUGAUUGUGAAAAUUAAUCGUAUUUCUUUGUGUUACUCUCCCUGGUAUGACCGAUCUUCUUCAGAAUGGGAUUGUCUGUUUAAAGAGAUUGUGACCAUGUUUAACUAUUGUCUAAGUGUGUACUUAUGUAUGUAUGAAUUUAUGAAUGUAUAUUAAUGUGAUGCCAAUAUACAGUGCGUCCCACAAAAAACGAAACCCAGAUUUAUUGAUGAUUUAUCAUAUUUUAAUCACAAAUAAAAUAGACAAAUGACCUAUCA